CACGUAGGAGACAAGCGUUAUCCGGAUUUAUUGGGCGUAAAGGGCAUGUAGGCGGGUUCUUAAGUCGGAUGUGAAAUCUCUUGGCUUAACCGAGAGGGGUCAUUCGAUACUGGGAGCCUUGAGGGCAGGAGAGGGAAGCAGAAUUCCCGGUGUAGUGGUGGAAUACGUAGAUAUCGGGAGGAAUACCAGUGGCGAAGGCGGCUUCCUGGCCUGUGCCUGACGCUGAUAUGCGAAAGCGUGGGUAGCAAACGGGAUUAGAUACCCCGGUAGUCCACGCCCUAAACGAUGGAUACUAGGUGUUGGUGGUCUUUACCCCACCAGUGCCGAAGCAAACGCGAUAAGUAUCCCGCCUGGGGACUACGGUCGCAAGACUAAA
Molecule: ribosomal RNA, 376 nt
Filed under: uncultured bacterium
Lineage: Bacteria
Description: bacterial SSU rRNA
Rfam family: Bacterial small subunit ribosomal RNA
Source: RNAcentral